UUAACUUGUUAAUCAUAAAAAUUGCUCUCCAAAAAAUAUACUGGAAACAUCCGGAUAUAGAGUUAUAAUUAAAAAUGAAAGCAAAACAGCCUACCCUAAAAGAACUGAAAUUCUUAAUUCAAACAUCUAGCGUGGUUGAUAAUGAAAGUAAAAAUGCUGAUAUGUAUAGAUAUUGAGACGUUCUGAGAUUUUUAUCGCUGACCAUCUAG
RNAcentral lists this long non-coding RNA (209 nucleotides) under Chinchilla lanigera (long-tailed chinchilla). RNAcentral's name for it is "DLG2 antisense RNA 1 conserved region 1 (ENSCLAG00000021154.1)". It matches the Rfam family "DLG2 antisense RNA 1 conserved region 1". Lineage: Eukaryota; Metazoa; Chordata; Mammalia; Rodentia; Chinchillidae. The record is from RNAcentral.